CCUACGGGAGGCAGCAGUGGGGAAUAUUGGACAAUGGGCGAAAGCCUGAUCCAGCCAUGCCGCGUGUGUGAAGAAGGCCUUCGGGUUGUAAAGCACUUUCAGUGGGGAAGAAAGCCUUGGGGCUAAUACCCUCGAGGAAGGACAUCACCCACAGAAGAAGCACCGGCUAACUCCGUGCCAGCAGCCGCGGUAAUACGGAGGGUGCGAGCGUUAAUCGGAAUUACUGGGCGUAAAGCGCGCGUAGGCGGUCUGAUAAGCCGGUUGUGAAAGCCCCGGGCUCAACCUGGGAACGGCAUCCGGAACUGUCAGGCUAGAGUGCAGGAGAGGAAGGUAGAAUUCCCGGUGUAGCGGUGAAAUGCGUAGAGAUCGGGAGGAAUACCAGUGGCGAAGGCGACCUUCUGGACUGACACUGACGCUGAGGUGCGAAAGCGUGGGUAGCAAACAGGAUUAGAUACCCGUGUAGUC
This 465-nucleotide ribosomal RNA is filed under the name Vreelandella stevensii. RNAcentral describes it as "partial 16S ribosomal RNA". It matches the Rfam family "Bacterial small subunit ribosomal RNA", at positions 338 to 795 of the family's 1533-position model. The record is from RNAcentral. Lineage: Bacteria; Pseudomonadati; Pseudomonadota; Gammaproteobacteria; Oceanospirillales; Halomonadaceae.